UGGACCAUGGAAGAGGCAGAGAUCCUGCAAAUAAAAUCAUUAUCAAAUGGGAACUUAAAAUCUACAUUAAUGCCAAAUUCACAGUAAAGGCAAAAUCUGUUAAUGCAAAUUCAGACUCCGGCCAUGCUAGAAAAAGAUGAUAUAGUGUCACAAAGAAAUAUUUUCAUAUUUUCAUGUAGUGCCUCAUCCAAUGAAACCACACAUAUCCAGAGUCUUCAGCGUGGGAAAAUAGAUUCACAUAUACAUAAACAAGCAUGCGCAAACAGAAGUGUUCAGAAUAUACUUGUCCAGUUUGCAUAAACAUUAUAAAUAGAUAUCUUGUCAAUUUUAUUAUACAUAAAAACAAUUAUUUUGCAAGUAUCACAAACCACUCAUGAGUAACAAGAAAACAAAAAUUGCUAGGACAAGCUGGCAUGCACAUCCUUGAUCCUACUUUACUUUCAUAUAAGAAGCUCAAAAACUUCAGCAACAGGAUGUGAAAAGAGGUGACUAGAAAAUUAAAAAAAUGAAAACGAAAGGAGGGGAGGGGGGGUAGGGGGAUAGGAGGGGCAGUUACUUCUAAAUAGGUGGUUCUCGAGG
Molecule: unclassified non-coding RNA, 579 nt
Filed under: Hevea brasiliensis (rubber tree)
Lineage: Eukaryota; Viridiplantae; Streptophyta; Magnoliopsida; Malpighiales; Euphorbiaceae
Source: RNAcentral